AUGUACAUGUAUAAUUUAAUGUAUAUUGUAUGAAUUGAUUAAAAUCUUUUGUGCUUUUUAUUUCUCUACAGAUCUUGAGAUGGCCAUUGCCUACUGGAAUCUUAUUUUUACUGGUCGCUUCAAAUUUUUGGACUUGUGGUGUGAAUUUUUAAGAUCUCAUUAUAAAAAAGCUGGCAAUACCCAAAGACACUUGGAACCUUCUGCUAGAGUUUUCUAACAGGAUUGAUGACACCAUGAGCAAUUAUGAUGAAGAUGGCCCCCCAAGCCCCAAGAGUUCACUAUAAACCUGAGACUAGGGGCCCCUUUAAUUGGGUGCCUACUGCUAAUUCCCCAUUGCCCCCUCCUAUUGGUAGUCAUGCAUGAUGUACAUGUGACUAGUAAC
Amphimedon queenslandica is the source of this 382-nucleotide long non-coding RNA. RefSeq lists it as uncharacterized. The transcript is spliced from 3 exons. The record is from RefSeq and is a predicted model, not a curated record. Lineage: Eukaryota; Metazoa; Porifera; Demospongiae; Haplosclerida; Niphatidae.